UACGGAGGGUGCGAGCGUUGUCCGGAAUCAUUGGGCGUAAAGGGCGCGUAGGCGGUCUCUUAAGCGUGUGGUGAAAGCCCGGGGCUCAACUCCGGGUCGGCCGUGCGAACUGGGAGACUGGAGCUUGUCAGAGGCAGGCGGAAUUCCGGGUGUAGCGGUGGAAUGCGUAGAGAUCCGGAAGAACACCGGUGGCGAAGGCGGCCUGCUGGGACAGUGCUGACGCUGAGGCGCGACAGCGUGGGGAGCAAACAGG
RNAcentral lists this ribosomal RNA (253 nucleotides) under uncultured bacterium. Its description in RNAcentral is "partial 16S ribosomal RNA". It matches the Rfam family "Bacterial small subunit ribosomal RNA", at positions 524 to 776 of the family's 1533-position model. The record is from RNAcentral.